GACGAACGCUGGCGGCGUGCCUAAUACAUGCAAGUAGAACGCUGAAGCGAGGAGCUUGCUCUUCUUGGAUGAGUUGCGAACGGGUGAGUAACGCGUAGGUAACCUGCCUUGUAGCGGGGGAUAACUAUUGGAAACGAUAGCUAAUACCGCAUAACAAUGGAUGACACAUGUCAUUUAUUUGAAAGGGGCAAUUGCUCCACUACAAGAUGGACCUGCGUUGUAUUAGCUAGUAGGUGAGGUAAUGGCUCACCUAGGCGACGAUACAUAGCCGACCUGAGAGGGUGAUCGGCCACACUGGGACGGAGACACGGCCCAGACUCCUACGGGAGGCAGCAGUAGGGAAUCUUCGGCAAUGGGGGCAACCCUGACCGAGCAACGCCGCGGGAGUGAAGAAGGGUUUCGGAUCGUAAAGCUCUGUUGUAAGUCAAGAACGGGUGUGAGAGUGGAAAGUUCACACUGUGACGGUAGCUUACCAGAAAGGGACGGCUAACUACGUG
RNAcentral lists this ribosomal RNA (497 nucleotides) under uncultured bacterium. RNAcentral describes it as "partial 16S ribosomal RNA". It matches the Rfam family "Bacterial small subunit ribosomal RNA", at positions 28 to 507 of the family's 1533-position model. The record is from RNAcentral.